CAUCACUAAAUCAUGGCCAUGAGUCAUAUUUAGAGCAGGGCUUCAUCUACCCUUGCAGGUUCCAGAGUCUCCACUUCUAUUUCUUUCCCAUGUGCAAAAACCUUCCUUUGGGGUCUGACAGUCUCCUCAGUUGAGCAGGGAGUCAAGGGAGUUUAUGUUUGUGAAGAAACAAAAAUUAGUAACAGGCUACAGAUUAAUUUAAUAAUCUAGAAACAGAUGCCCAUGAGGAUGUGUACUAUAGUAGAGGAAACAGCAACUUCUAUGAUGCCUGUCUUUCUCCCAGGAAAAAUCACCUCUGUCUUGCUUCUGUACAGCUUUGCCAGCUUGUUUUAAGAUGAAAAUUGAGAGGAUGGAGGCAGAGAGACACAGAGAUGGAGAGAGAUGGAAGGAAAGAGUGCUGCUGCUAUCGGAGCCUUCUCUGCAUUUCCCCUUCUUCGAGAGAUUAUCCUUGCAGAGCCCUGCAGGAUCCUGGGGACUAGGGACAGGAAGGGACUCUGAAACUCUGCCUGAAAUAGAAAACAGCACAAGAGGCUGCUAUUCCACAAAGUCCCAGGAAGAGUGGGAAAAAGAGAGGAAAAAAAACAUUAAUGUAGGAAGUAAAUCUGCUCAGCGUUUUAUCCCAACAUCCUGUCCUCCUGCUGCUUUUUAUAUGACCUUUUGCACUGCACAGAAUUCAUUACUAUUGUAAAAAACACGGUUUUGUUUCUUAGAAAAUUUCAAGAAAUGUGUGAUCUGUUUUAAAGUAGACAGGAUUCACAAGUGGCAAAAAUAUGUGUUCUUCCAAAUCCUUUUCCUUCAUUAUCAGCUCCAGAAGUUUGCUAAUUAGACCCACUAAACAAAAACACCUCAGCAAUAACACAGUGCAGAAGGAACGGAGAAAACUUCAUAAUUGCAAUUUUAUUUAUUAUUUCACUGCAGGACAGCACAGGAACCUUAACCAGGUCAAGACUUCAUUGUGUCAGGUGCUGUACACACAAAAAAAUAGCAGUUCCUGCUCCAGGAAACGUGAAAUUUUUGCAUGUAUUUAUAGCCAAGCUUGUGGCCCCAUGGUAACUCAUUUAGUGAUUACCUCCACAAAUGCUAGUGAAGGCACCCAGAAACAUAUUUUGCAGGGUACAAACAUCUGUGGUUUCCCUGAGGCUGAAGCCCAGUGUACUUUCCCUGCCACAGAAGGGUAAUAGGGCCUUAGAGUAAAUGGAGUGGAAUAAGGACCAAAACACUUUGUGUUCUUUAAAUGAAAGGCACUUUAUACACACACGUAUGUUUACUGAAAGGCCUUUCAAAGAGGCAUAAUUAUGCAGGCAUCUCUGUGUAAUUCGCCUGGGUCAAUGCUAAUGUUGGAAAGUACUUAUUCUGUGGGUCAGACGAAUUACUGCAGUGCUCAGCCCCUGGCCUAUGUGUAUGUAAUAAAUCACUCUGCAGAAGAACUCGACUAACCUGUAUCUGUCUUAGCUUUUUUAAUUGCAGACCACAAACACUGAUAGAACCUAAAAUGUUUGCUCAGUCUAGACUGAGUGGGGAAAUGGAAGCUCACGCUGCGUCUUCUCUUCAGGGAUUACCUUCCGCUCUUUCCAGGGAGAUGCAAAGUCUAUGCAUGACACCAGAAAUACCUAAUUGCAUACAAAAGCAACAAAUGCUAAUUGUCCCAAAUGCUUCUUUAAAAAUAAUUUAGGAAUAAAAUAGUCAGGUCUCUGCAUGUGCUUUUAGGCCCACAGGGAUUUGGAAGUCUGAAAAGUGCCAGGCUGACUGCCAGCCCACAGGUUGAAGCAGCAGGUGGGACAGCACUGCAGCCUCUCCUGUCUCUUCCUACAGAGGACAUGAUCCUCUGCUGGAUGAAUUGGGCCACAAAGCUGCAGAGGAUGCCAUUAGAGACAUGUCAAGCGGGGCCCAAUGGCGUGUUAGCCCCAGCAUCCCUUCUUGUGCCCUAGCUUCUGCCAGGACAGCCGUGCAGGAAAGGCCACCUGGUCAUGCAUCAAAUCUGCAGCAUGAAUCCUCUGGUGAGGAUCACGUUGCUGCUGCAAGGUCUCUUCCUGCAGACAGCCAAAUGCAGCAAGAGGAGGGAUGUCAACCCACUCCUCCAGAAGCAAGGUGUCUGGGACCUGGGGCAAGUGGGGCUGCUUGGCUGCUGCUUUCCCCUCUCUCCAC
Long non-coding RNA from Gallus gallus (chicken), 2145 nucleotides. The record is from Ensembl. Lineage: Eukaryota; Metazoa; Chordata; Aves; Galliformes; Phasianidae.